RNAcentral lists this transfer RNA (74 nucleotides) under Streptomyces phage StarPlatinum. RNAcentral describes it as "tRNA-Lys". It matches the Rfam family "tRNA". Rfam says of the family: Transfer RNA (tRNA) molecules are approximately 80 nucleotides in length. Their secondary structure includes four short double-helical elements and three loops (D, anti-codon, and T loops). Further hydrogen bonds mediate the characteristic L-shaped molecular structure. tRNAs have two regions of fundamental functional importance: the anti-codon, which is responsible for specific mRNA codon recognition, and the 3' end, to which the tRNAs corresponding amino acid is attached (by aminoacyl-tRNA synthetases). tRNAs cope with the degeneracy of the genetic code in two manners: having more than one tRNA (with a specific anti-codon) for a particular amino acid; and 'wobble' base-pairing, i.e. permitting non-standard base-pairing at the 3rd anti-codon position. Lineage: Duplodnaviria; Heunggongvirae; Uroviricota; Caudoviricetes; Stanwilliamsviridae. The record is from RNAcentral. RNAcentral also lists the same sequence under 27 other names.
GCUCCGGUAGCUCAGUUGGUAGAGCAGUUGACUCUUAAUCAUCAGGUCCACGGUUCGAGUCCGUGUCGGAGUAC